RNAcentral lists this long non-coding RNA (1045 nucleotides) under Manihot esculenta (cassava). Its description in RNAcentral is "long non-coding RNA (MESC_LNC006344)". Lineage: Eukaryota; Viridiplantae; Streptophyta; Magnoliopsida; Malpighiales; Euphorbiaceae. The record is from RNAcentral.
CUUCAUAAGGAAUUUGUCCAUACAUAUUUCACGGAAGAAGGAAACCCUAAUUGUUUGAAAUGAUGCACGCUACUUAUAAAGCAGAUGUCAGACAUUUCAAGCUAACAACUCAAAAAUCUGCCUGGACCCCCAUUUUUCCUCUGUUGCCAAAAAUUUAAAGAUAGGGAAUAUUAUAACAUACUUGGGAUUAAAUACUUCAAUCUGAUGGAUAAUGUUCUCCUGUCACACAAAAAGUAAGUUAGAAAGUAGUAGCGCAAGGGGAGGAAACAUAUGUUGUGCUAUUUAAUAAAAUUCCAAAAGCAAUAUUUUCUAAUGUGAGGGGAAAAAAAGAAAAAGAGAACUAUCACGGUAAAUGUGGCUUUAAGAGCCAUCGAAACAGAAUUGAUAUCGCUAGUGCAAAUAUCUCAAAAUUGCAUGAGCACAAAAGAUGAAUAUAAUUUAUAAAUAAAGAAUAAGCUAACUGCACACAUCCAAUGCUUGGAGCAUAUAAAUGUUUUGCUCAUGCAAAUUUUCACUAGAAAGGAACACCUUCAAAUAUUCAAAAUGGUGCAAUCUAGAUAACAGUCCUAUUAAUUUUUCAACUUCAAAUGCAAGUCCUCUAUUAUUUAUUUAUUUAUUGUCACUUUUUUUGGUCAGGGGAGCUGGAGUUAUAGAGUGCAUACCCGCAACUUCGGAGACUUCUUCUAAACUCAAAACCAGCCUUCUGAAUAGCCUUGAAACAGUCCUAAAUCCUCAGGACUAAAGAGACUUGCUUGUUUUGGUUAAGACAGUUUCAGCAUCAGGUGUUCUACUAAACCUACAAUAUUGCCUCCCCAGGUGACUCACUAGAUCAUCCUACUGCAGGACCAAUGCUAUCAUAACUGGGGAACUCUGAAGCACUGUCACGUUGUAAUCAACUAGAGCUUAUUUUCUGACCCAAACAUAUCCUUGACCUUAUCAUUCUGAUGAAAUUAUUCCUCACAACUCCCCAACCUUCAAACAAUUCUGCGGCAUUAACUGUCAUAAGUUUUGCAUGAUGCAAAAUUACUGAUACACUGGGAAAGCC